Molecule: non-coding RNA, 356 nt
Organism: Camellia sinensis
Lineage: Eukaryota; Viridiplantae; Streptophyta; Magnoliopsida; Ericales; Theaceae
Source: RefSeq, a predicted model, not a curated record
UUCAGGUGAGCAAACCCAUCUUAUUUGAGAACCAAAAUUAAAACCUAUGCCUGUGUAUUUGGCAACCAAAAUUUGCUUGAAAGCAUACAAAGCCGUAUUGGAAUCCUGUGCUCAUGUAUGGAUUUCAUGAAGGUCUACAAAACUAUUGGGAGGGUGCAUUCUUCACUUGAGAGAUGAUUCUUGCGCUCGAGCGGUGUCAUUUGUUGUGUCUGGACGCUCAAGUGACAUUUCUUGCGCUCGAGUGGUUUGUCCGAAUUCAACAAUUGUAAAAGUCACUUUUGAUCACAUUUGGAUCACUUUUCUCUCUCCCUUCUCUCUCUCUCUCAAAUGCUGAAACUCUUUUAUAUUCCUUGACA